RNAcentral lists this ribosomal RNA (253 nucleotides) under uncultured bacterium. RNAcentral's name for it is "partial 16S ribosomal RNA". It matches the Rfam family "Bacterial small subunit ribosomal RNA", at positions 524 to 776 of the family's 1533-position model. The record is from RNAcentral.
UACGGAGGGUGCGAGCGUUGUCCGGAAUCACUGGGCGUAAAGGGCGUGUAGGCGGUCCGCUAAGUCUGAUGUGAAAGCCCGGGGCUCACCCCCGGAAGUGCAUUGGAAACUGGCGAACUCGAGUCCCGGAGAGGAGGGUGGAAUUCCUGGUGUAGCGGUGAAAUGCGCAGAUAUCAGGAGGAACACCGGUGGCGAAGGCGGGUCUCUGGGCCGAUACUGGCGCUGAGGAGCGAAAGCGUGGGGAGCAAACAGG